GGGGGAUCUUUGUGCGUGCGUGCGUGCGUGUGCGAGCACUCUUACCUGGAUUGCCGUCCAUUGUAAUGAGCUGUAAAUAAUACAAACGGGAGAGAACUGGUAGUUAUUUUUUUGUGCGCGCGCGUAUUGUGCGUGAAAUUAGGAGGUCAUUGUGAUGCAAUUCAUUGUGAUUCGUGAUUGCAAUUCGGUUAUAUUGUGAAGCUCUCGAUGCAAAGAGGUGGUGAUGAAUAUGGUUUGAGUCUAAACCGCCUGUGCUUUUGUGUUUGGUGGGGGGUGGGCGCUCUGCUGUGAGUUGUGAUGACCGGCAAUGCCAGACGUACGCGCGAUGGCCGGGAGGUUGGGGAGUUGAGCCGUCCAUCGGAACGAGCGGUGACGAUUCCGGCGAUCCCUGGUUCUCGCGCCAUCGGGGACAUUCGAAGAAGUGGAGAGUCGGAACGGUGGCUGCUAACCGUGCCGGUGACACCGAGCCCGCAACGUUGAGACCCUGAGUUCUAUUCUGGGUCUCGAACGCCCGACCAAAAAAGUGAUUAAACCGCGGUUCUCCGUUGCAGUCAGUUGACGGUUUCGCCCCAGUUGCCGGUGACUGCACUGGCUGUGUUGAUGCAACAUGCCGCACAGCGUUCGCGCGCUCGUUUAACGUGGUGGACGCCUUUCCCGAAAAGUGCCGCAUUCAGUAAAAAAAUAAACGCGUGAAGCGAAAAAAAUUACCCCCUAAA
Molecule: non-coding RNA, 716 nt
Organism: Petromyzon marinus (sea lamprey)
Lineage: Eukaryota; Metazoa; Chordata; Hyperoartia; Petromyzontiformes; Petromyzontidae
Source: RefSeq, a predicted model, not a curated record